CCUACGGGAGGCAGCAGUAGGGAAUCUUCCACAAUGGGCGAAAGCCUGAUGGAGCAACGCCGCGUGAGUGAAGAAGGAUUUCGGUUCGUAAAACUCUGUUGUAAGGGAAGAACAAGUACAGUAGUAACUGGCUGUACCUUGACGGUACCUUAUUAGAAAGCCACGGCUAACUACGUGCCAGCAGCCGCGGUAAUACGUAGGUGGCAAGCGUUGUCCGGAAUUAUUGGGCGUAAAGCGCGCGCAGUGGUUCUUAAGUCUGAUGUGAAAGCCCACGGCUCAACCGUGGAGGGUCAUUGGAAACUGGGAGACUUGAGUGCAGAAGAAGAUAGUGGAAUUCCAAGUGUAGCGGUGAAAUGCGUAGAGAUUUGGAGGAACACCAGUGGCGAAGGCGACUAUCUGGUCUGUAACUGACACUGAGGCGCGAAAGCGUGGGGAGCAAACAGGAUUAGAUACCUGGUAGUCCACGCCGUAAACGAUGAGUGCUAAGUGUUAGGGGGUUUCCGCCCCUUAGUGCUGCAGCUAACGCAUUAAGCACUCCGCCUGGGGAGUACGGUCGCAAGACUGAAACUCAAAGGAAUUGACGGGGGCCCGCACAAGCGGUGGAGCAUGUGGUUUAAUUCGAAGCAACGCGAAGAACCUUAC
RNAcentral lists this ribosomal RNA (642 nucleotides) under bacterium HN2-10-65. Its description in RNAcentral is "bacterial SSU rRNA". It matches the Rfam family "Bacterial small subunit ribosomal RNA", at positions 338 to 974 of the family's 1533-position model. The record is from RNAcentral.